AGUGAACGCUGGCGGUAGGCCUAACACAUGCAAGUCGAACGGCAGCACAGUAAGAGCUUGCUCUUACGGGUGGCGAGUGGCGGACGGGUGAGGAAUACAUCGGAAUCUACUUUUUCGUGGGGGAUAACGUAGGGAAACUUACGCUAAUACCGCAUACGACCUACGGGUGAAAGCAGGGGAUCUUCGCACCUUGCGCGAUUGAAUGAGCCGAUGUCGGAUUAGCUAGUUGGCGGGGUAAAGGCCCACCAAGGCGACGAUCCGUAGCUGAUCUGAGAGGAUGAUCAGCCACACUGGAACUGAGACACGGUCCAGACUCCUACGGGAGGCAGCAGUGGGGAAUAUUGGACAAUGGGCGCAAGCCUGAUCCAGCCAUACCGCGUGGGUGAAGAAGGCCUUCGGGUUGUAAAGCCCUUUUGUUGGGAAAGAAAAGCAGCAGGUUAAUACCCCGCUGUUCUGACGGUACCCAAAGAAUAAGCACCGGCUAACUUCGUG
RNAcentral lists this ribosomal RNA (492 nucleotides) under uncultured bacterium. RNAcentral describes it as "partial 16S ribosomal RNA". It matches the Rfam family "Bacterial small subunit ribosomal RNA", at positions 29 to 507 of the family's 1533-position model. The record is from RNAcentral.